UAUGAUGAGACAAGUUAUAAAGACAACU
RNAcentral lists this non-coding RNA (28 nucleotides) under Rattus norvegicus (Norway rat). The record is from RNAcentral. Lineage: Eukaryota; Metazoa; Chordata; Mammalia; Rodentia; Muridae.